GAUGAACGCUGGCGGCGUGCCUAAUACAUGCAAGUCGAGCGAACGGACGAGAGGCUUGCUUUUCUGAUGUUAGCGGCGGACGGGUGAGUAACACGUGGAUAACCUACCUAUAAGACUGGGAUAACUUCGGGAAACCGGAGCUAAUACCGGAUAAUAUUUUGAACCGCAUGGUUCAAAAGUGAAAGACGGUCUUGCUGUCACUUAUAGAUGGAUCCGCGCUGCAUUAGCUAGUUGGUAAGGUAACGGCUUACCAAGGCAACGAUGCAUAGCCGACCUGAGAGGGUGAUCGGCCACACUGGAACUGAGACACGGUCCAGACUCCUACGGGAGGCAGCAGUAGGGAAUCUUCCGCAAUGGGCGAAAGCCUGACGGAGCAACGCCGCGUGAGUGAUGAAGGUCUUCGGAUCGUAAAACUCUGUUAUUAGGGAAGAACAUAUGUGUAAGUAACUGUGCACAUCUUGACGGUACCUAAUCAGAAAGCCACGGCUAACUACGUGCCAGCAGCCGCGGUAAUACGUAGGUGGCAAGCGUUAUCCGGAAUUAUUGGGCGUAAAGCGCGCGUAGGCGGUUUUUUAAGUCUGAUGUGAAAGCCCACGGCUCAACCGUGGAGGGUCAUUGGAAACUGGAAAACUUGAGUGCAGAAGAGGAAAGUGGAAUUCCAUGUGUAGCGGUGAAAUGCGCAGAGAUAUGGAGGAACACCAGUGGCGAAGGCGACUUUCUGGUCUGUAACUGACGCUGAUGUGCGAAAGCGUGGGGAUCAAACAGGAUUAGAUACCCUGGUAGUCCACGCCGUAAACGAUGAGUGCUAAGUGUUAGGGGGUUUCCGCCCCUUAGUGCUGCAGCUAACGCAUUAAGCACUCCGCCUGGGGAGUACGACCGCAAGGUUGAAACUCAAAGGAAUUGACGGGGACCCGCACAAGCGGUGGAGCAUGUGGUUUAAUUCGAAGCAACGCGAAGAACCUUACCAAAUCUUGACAUCCUUUGACAACUCUAGAGAUAGAGCCUUCCCCUUCGGGGGACAAAGUGACAGGUGGUGCAUGGUUGUCGUCAGCUCGUGUCGUGAGAUGUUGGGUUAAGUCCCGCAACGAGCGCAACCCUUAAGCUUAGUUGCCAUCAUUAAGUUGGGCACUCUAAGUUGACUGCCGGUGACAAACCGGAGGAAGGUGGGGAUGACGUCAAAUCAUCAUGCCCCUUAUGAUUUGGGCUACACACGUGCUACAAUGGACAAUACAAAGGGCAGCGAAACCGCGAGGUCAAGCAAAUCCCAUAAAGUUGUUCUCAGUUCGGAUUGUAGUCUGCAACUCGACUACAUGAAGCUGGAAUCGCUAGUAAUCGUAGAUCAGCAUGCUACGGUGAAUACGUUCCCGGGUCU
RNAcentral lists this ribosomal RNA (1372 nucleotides) under uncultured bacterium. RNAcentral's name for it is "bacterial SSU rRNA". It matches the Rfam family "Bacterial small subunit ribosomal RNA", at positions 28 to 1381 of the family's 1533-position model. The record is from RNAcentral.